GCUCGCGCACCUCGUCCUCGUACAGCUGCACCGUCUCCCGCCACGACUCGGCCACCAGCAGUGCGUAGCUGUCGUGCACCUCCCGCAGGCGUGGCGGCGGCGCGGCGGGGCCGGUGGCGCGGGCGCGGAAAUGCAUGGCUGAACACCUUAGGGACCAUCAACCCCCGGUGGUGUCGUUUCCAGUGAAAACCGAACUCCGGGAUGUAGCCGGAUUGGAGAGAAGCGAGUGACGCGUGCGCCCCCUUCCUGCGGCGGAUGGAUGAACGGGUGAUUGUGAACAUCUGGUGAGAGAAUGGAUGUGAAGGUCUUUUUAGCAACAUUAGAACACUACAAAAAUCACACAUCUGAGUCAGUUCUGGGGAGGCUGGCGCCAUCCUUCUCGAAUGCUCUCCCCUUUGGGGGACACAUACCCAGCCCUUCUCCUGGAACAGGGACAAGACUCAAAUGGAAUUCCUGCCCUGCUGGGAAGCAGCUUCCUGGGGGCCAGCUGUGACCCCCCCCGGAGGCUGGGUGACGGUCAGCAGGGUGAGCACACAGAGGUGCCUCCGUAUUCUCACUUCACUCUUGGCCCUGAUGUCCUGAACUGGA
RNAcentral lists this long non-coding RNA (588 nucleotides) under Homo sapiens (human). RNAcentral describes it as "SYNM antisense RNA 1 (SYNM-AS1)". The record is from RNAcentral. Lineage: Eukaryota; Metazoa; Chordata; Mammalia; Primates; Hominidae.